RNAcentral lists this non-coding RNA (79 nucleotides) under bovine gut metagenome. RNAcentral's name for it is "TPP riboswitch (THI element)". It matches the Rfam family "TPP riboswitch aptamer (THI element)", at positions 9 to 90 of the family's 105-position model. From Rfam's summary of the family: Vitamin B(1) in its active form thiamin pyrophosphate (TPP) is an essential coenzyme that is synthesised by coupling of pyrimidine and thiazole moieties in bacteria. The previously detected thiamin-regulatory element, thi box was extended, resulting in a new, highly conserved RNA secondary structure, the THI element, which is widely distributed in eubacteria and also occurs in some archaea. The record is from RNAcentral.
AUUGCAGGGGUGCCACCGGCUGAGACCGCUUCACGCGGAACCCUUACACCUGAUCCGGAUCAUACCGGCGUAGGGAGCG